This 66-nucleotide transfer RNA is filed under the name Halocynthia spinosa. Its description in RNAcentral is "transfer RNA-Arg". Lineage: Eukaryota; Metazoa; Chordata; Ascidiacea; Stolidobranchia; Pyuridae. The record is from RNAcentral.
UAUAGCUUAGUUUAACGUGUUAAAAUAUUGGUUUUCGGGGCCAAGGAUCUUUAUUGAGAGUUGUAG